This 497-nucleotide ribosomal RNA is filed under the name uncultured bacterium. RNAcentral describes it as "partial 16S ribosomal RNA". It matches the Rfam family "Bacterial small subunit ribosomal RNA", at positions 28 to 507 of the family's 1533-position model. The record is from RNAcentral.
GAUGAACGCUGGCGGCGUGCCUAAUACAUGCAAGUCGAGCGAACAGACGAGGAGCUUGCUCCUCUGACGUUAGCGGCGGACGGGUGAGUAACACGUGGAUAACCUACCUAUAAGACUGGGAUAACUUCGGGAAACCGGAGCUAAUACCGGAUAAUAUAUUGAACCGCAUGGUUCAAUAGUGAAAGACGGUUUUGCUGUCACUUAUAGAUGGAUCCGCGCCGCAUUAGCUAGUUGGUAAGGUAACGGCUUACCAAGGCAACGAUGCGUAGCCGACCUGAGAGGGUGAUCGGCCACACUGGAACUGAGACACGGUCAAGACUCCUAAGGGAGGCAGCAGUAGGGAAUCUUCCGCAAUGGGCGAAAGCCUGACGGAGCAACGCCGCGUGAGUGAUGAAGGUCUUCGGAUCGUAAAACUCUGUUAUUAGGGAAGAACAAAUGUGUAAGUAACUAUGCACGUCUUGACGGUACCUAAUCAGAAAGCCACGGCUAACUACGUG